RNAcentral lists this non-coding RNA (310 nucleotides) under Pan troglodytes (chimpanzee). The record is from RNAcentral. Lineage: Eukaryota; Metazoa; Chordata; Mammalia; Primates; Hominidae.
AGCGGCUUGGCCCCCAGCCGUCUGUGGCAGUGCGUCCCCUCUCCGCGGGAUCGUCGCCAUGGUCCUGCGAUCCUAGGAGUCGGGCAAGGCGGAACCUGCCUGAAGAAACCUCAAGCGGAGAUUCAAGGAAGCACCACGUGAUCCCUAAGGAUCCCAAAGAUGCGUCGGGCAUGCAUGGGCGGUGUGAGGGUGCGUCUCCCUGACAGGUGUCCCCGCUGGGAUUUCGAGAAAGAAGACCAGCACACGACAACCAAGAACAAAUUCCUCCAGGGGCCCAUGGUCCUGCGGCACACCCAAGGCUGGACGGACC